UUUUUUUUUUUUUUUUUUUUUAAUUGUACACACCCGCAACAUAUGGAAGUUCCCAGACCAGGGAUUGAAUCCAAGCUGCUGAUGCCACCUUCAGCCAUCACCUGUAGGGCACAGCUGAGGCAUCACCGGAUCCUUUAAUCCACUGCAUUGGUCCAAGGGUUGAACCUGCACCUCUGCAGUGAACCACGCAGCUACAGUUGGAUUCUUAACCCACUGUGUCACAGCAGGAACUCCCAUUAUAUGUGCUUUUCAAGGAAAGAUAGCUUAUGUUCUAUUUAUAACAUAAAGGCAACUUGGUGCCAAGGAAAAUGACUGGAAUUAGAUGAGAGACUUCCUUUCAACAUGAAAUUGCAGAGCCUCUUCAAAGUUAAAUUUUCUCAUCUGUGAAAUAAGAUUAAUCUCUGCUUUAUUGUAAUUUGUAUACUAUCUCUUCAUUUGGAAAGAGUCACAAGCGCAGGGUUUGGUUUAAGUUAUAGUUAUUAUCACAUGUUGAAAGAUGCCAGUGACGGUGAUGUUGUGGAUGCGAUUCAUACAUCUAGUUAGAGGGCAGAUGCGGUAUGUUCUGGGACAUAGAGGUCAAGCCUUCCAACAUUCCUUAUAUAAUUGAAGGUGAACUAAAGGAAGUAAGCCCAGGAGCAUCCACAGAAGCAGCACAAAGGUGGAAGUACAACAUUAUGGGACUAUAAUGUUGUGCUUUUCAUUAUAUCAUGUGUAUCAUAAGUGUGAACUGAAUUAUUGAAUGACAAAAUGACUAAAAAAACAGUAGAGACCCUUCCGUAUUGACUUCUGAGAGAGGUUCCUGCUAGUUAUUGUCAUCAUAUCCAAUGAUUUUCAUGAAGCCAGAACUCAGAAUUCAAGCAGAUAGGUAGGCUCUGGGAUUGAAAAGACUUCUUCAUUCUGCUUCCUGGGUGACUGGGUUGCGGGGAAAGGAAGGCAAGGCACGGGGGAGUGAAGAGGGUAGAAGGUCCAGCUGUUAACCUGGGAUUCAAGCUUAUAGUUCCUUCGAUGCUUAUGGAGACUGGCAAGAACCAAAGAUAUCAGGCCAGGAUAGGAGGAUAUAUACCAGAUGGUGUGCGCGUGUGUGUGUUUCUUACUGGCUUUUUUAUGCACUUGACUGUGACCUUGGGGAGUCAUAUACCUUUCUAAGUGACACGUUUUUGUCUUUGUUUUGUUGUCUAAUCUGAAAAGGGAGGUAACGAUGACAUUUAUAGAGUUGGUGUGAGGAUUACUCUUGAAAAUGCCUGCGAUGUGCUUACUGACCGAAAAUCUCCUAUCGUCGUGGCUCUUCUCAGUAAGAAGAAUAUAGUUCCAAAGGCAAUAGUUUGUAUCUAUUAACCCCAGGCUAUCGCCUUUGGAAUGGAUUAGCAAUGAGAUCCUGCUGUGUAGCCCUGGGAACUAUGUCUAGUCACUUAAGGUGGAGCAUGACAAUGUGAGAAAAUAGAAUGUGUACAUGUAUGUGUAACUGGAUCACUAUGCUGUACAGUAGGAAAAAAAAUUGCAUUGGGUGGAGUUUCUGUCAUCGCACAGUGGUUAACGAAUCCGACUAGGAACCAUGAGGUUGCGGGUUCGAUCCCUGGCCUCGCUCAGUAGGUUAAGGAUCCGGCAUUGCCGUGAGCUGUGGUGUAGGUCGCAGACGUGGCUUGGAUCCCACUUUGCUGUGACUGUGGUGUAGGCCAGCGGCUAUAGCUCUGAUUCGACCCCUAGCCUGGGAACCUCCAUAUGCCGCAGGAGCGGCCCUAGAAAAGGCAAAAAGACAAAAAAAGAAAAAAAAAAUUGUGUUGGGGAAAUAACUAUUAAAAAAAAAAAAAAGAAUAUAGUUCUAGGGCUGAGUUGUUUAAGACAGAAGUUUAACCUAAUGCUGAGUGUCCAGACUUGCCUCUGACUUGAGGAUCUCUAAUAAACAGAUAUAAAGGACAGUGUGGUUGUGACAAAACUGAGGCCGCCAUGAUGGAAUGCAAACAGGUUAGGACGGAGGCAGAUACUGAGGACUUCUCAGCGGACAAACUAUAUUGCAAGAAGAGCAGCCAGAAGCCAUUGGGACCAAAGCCACCAUAAGGAGACUGUUUACACUGGAGAAAAGAGAGAGGGGCCAGGGCAGAAGGCUGCAUCUGGAAGGCAGGUUUCAGAGUUCGUAAGAAAGCAAAGUGACUUUCUUGGGUAUUGAAAAAAAUAAUUGAAAAUACUUUGUUUCUAUUAAAAUAAGCAUGAUUACAUUGUGAAAUACAGCAUACAUUUUUGAUUAUGUAUUUAAACAAUGCCCUAGACCAAAAAGGUAUUUUGGAGAUUGCCUCCUUGAUCUCGGGUCCCAGACCAUCGGUGUAGACCUCUGCGCCACUCCAACAUGGGAGUACUUUCAAGGACUCAUUUGAGAAGCUCUGGUUCAAGACCAUAGGUUCUCUUGACUUUGCAAUAAAAUAUAUUCAAGAGAUUAUCUUGAACACAUCAAGAUCUUGAACACUGCUUCCUGGGUGACUGGGUUGGGAGAGGAAGGAAGGCAAGGUGGGGGGAGAGUAAAGAGUGGUAGGAAAAGUCCAGCUAUUAGCUUGGGACUCAAGGUUAUAAUUCCUUUGUUACUUACAGAGAUUGAACACAUCACUUAACCACUGAGAACACCUCUAUUAAAUGAUAAUCAAAAUGUCAAACACAAGUAUGGGGAGGAUGAAAGGAUAUACCUUUGGAAAGCUGUACCUGAUCCAGAGUAGGUGCUAAAUUAAUGUAAAUUCUGCCACCUCCCCAUCUCUUUGUAAGUUGUUAUAAAACCAACUGGAAACCAGUGAUACCUCCCCUGUGUGUUUCUUUUUCAGCAGCAAAUCAUUAGGUGAGCACGGGAUAAAACAAAAAAUUAUGAAAUGCAAUCUGUCUCUUUAAUAAAAACAGGGAAAUUACGAACAUAAACUUCAUUCAUAAAAUACAGAAAUAAUUAGUUCAUGGCACUCUUCGCCAUAUCCUGUUUCUGAUAUGCCCUAAACCAGGAUAUUCUGCUAAGCCUUGUGACAUUUAUUGAUCUAAUUUAUAGUUUUCUAUUGUUUGCCCAAAUGAUAGAUUAUCAAGACUAGGCUGUAUUAGCCCAAGAUAUCUAAGAGAAAUAAAAAUUCCAUUUGUUCUCCACAUGCUAUGCUUAAGCACCCAGGUUUCUUUCAAGUUCAAAUCAAGCUAUUGCAGAAAUUUACAGGUUGGCAUUUAUAAAUGCAUGAAGUACAUAGAUGAGGUGAAAGCUACCUUGUUACUUCAAAAACAAAUUGUAAAUGAGCUCAAAAGAGGUGAAUUGAGGGUAGCUAAACAAAUAUGGUACCUCACCUGGUAGGUAAUAAAGUUAAGGAGCUCAUUAACCCCAGCAGUGUUAUUCAGUAAAAAAAA
RNAcentral lists this long non-coding RNA (3357 nucleotides) under Sus scrofa (pig). RNAcentral's name for it is "lncRNA (ENSSSCG00055024873.1)". Lineage: Eukaryota; Metazoa; Chordata; Mammalia; Artiodactyla; Suidae. The record is from RNAcentral.